CACGUUAUAGGUGGGCACUCUAAGGAGACUGCCGGUGACAAACCGGAGGAAGGUGGGGAUGACGUCAAGUCAUCAUGGCCCUUACGGCCUGGGCUACACACGUGCUACAAUGGUCGGUACAAAGGGUUGCCAAGCCGCGAGGUGGAGCUAAUCCCAUAAAACCGAUCGUAGUCCGGAUCGCAGUCUGCAACUCGACUGCGUGAAGUCGGAAUCGCUAGUAAUCGUGAAUCAGAAUGUCACGGUGAAUACGUUCCCGGGCCUU
Molecule: ribosomal RNA, 262 nt
Filed under: uncultured Pseudomonas sp.
Lineage: Bacteria; Pseudomonadati; Pseudomonadota; Gammaproteobacteria; Pseudomonadales; Pseudomonadaceae
Description: partial 16S ribosomal RNA
Rfam family: Bacterial small subunit ribosomal RNA
Source: RNAcentral